This 296-nucleotide ribosomal RNA is filed under the name uncultured bacterium. RNAcentral's name for it is "partial 16S ribosomal RNA". It matches the Rfam family "Bacterial small subunit ribosomal RNA", at positions 775 to 1067 of the family's 1533-position model. The record is from RNAcentral.
GGAUUAGAUACCCUGGUAGUCCACGCUGUAAACGAUGAGAACUAGACGUUGGGGUGAUAAAGCACCUUGGUGUCGCAGCUAACGCGUGAAGUUCUCCGCCUGGGGACUACGGCCGCAAGGCUAAAACUCAAAGGAAUUGACGGGGGCCCGCACAAGCGGUGGAGCAUGCGGUUUAAUUCGAUGCAACGCGAAGAACCUUACCUACCCUUGACAUCCUCGGAACUUGAUAGAGAUAUCUUGGUGCCCUUCGGGGAACCGAGUGACAGGUGCUGCAUGGCUGUCGUCAGCUCGUGUCG